Myodes glareolus (Bank vole) is the source of this 258-nucleotide non-coding RNA. The record is from RefSeq and is a predicted model, not a curated record. NCBI's taxonomy places the organism in Eukaryota, Metazoa, Chordata, Mammalia, Rodentia, Cricetidae.
UCUCCUCAAGCUAAGCUCCACUCCGAACAGUAGAAACUAACAGUCUCUUCCCCCUUCCUGCCCUUCACGGUAGAAACAGGCACAUGAGCUGUUCUGAGAAGUAACGAACGGCUAGUACACAGGUGAAAGUGUGACCACAAACCUUGUACUCCAAAGUUUUGUUUUUCUUCUCCAGUCGUUCUAUUUCUGAUUUCUGCCCUAAGAUCAAUUUUUCUUUUUCAUUUAGUUUUUCCUGGAUAUAGUUUUCUUUAUUUAGAA